This 32-nucleotide transfer RNA is filed under the name Cervus elaphus xanthopygus (Manchurian Wapiti). RNAcentral's name for it is "partial tRNA-Ile". Lineage: Eukaryota; Metazoa; Chordata; Mammalia; Artiodactyla; Cervidae. The record is from RNAcentral.
AAUAGAGGUUUAAGCCCUCUUAUUUCUAGAAU